Non-coding RNA from Camellia sinensis, 733 nucleotides. Lineage: Eukaryota; Viridiplantae; Streptophyta; Magnoliopsida; Ericales; Theaceae. The record is from RefSeq and is a predicted model, not a curated record.
AGCACCUUUAGGUGAUUGAGUUGAAUUUGAAUUUCUUAAAUCUUUAACCUCAGCUCGUUUAGGUAAUUGAAUUGAAUUCAAAUUUCUCAAAUCUUUGACAAGCUGUACAUGAUUUAUUACUGUUGAAUCUACUCCAUGCUUGUCAUAUCCUGCUAAAAACGGGGCUAUUAAUAGAGGCAUAUAACAAAAUUAAUUAAAAAAUGUUCACCAGGGCAUCACUAUCUGCAAAUUCCCUGUUUGUAAAUGAUGAAUAUGACGGUUUUUGUGAAAUCUUGUUUUCAUUUGACGAAAAUUGAAAUUAAUAACUUGGUAUGUGUUAUUUUAUUGGAAAAAUCACUGGUAACAUUUGAUAGUUGCAUUCAUACAGGAGAACGCACGGGUUGUGUUGUUGAAGUUAUGACACAAUUACAAUUAGCAUAUGCCCAGAACUGGUAGCACAAGAGCAAGCUAAAAUGAUUGAAAUGCAAAACAAAAUUUGUGAAGAGAUUAAGAAGUUUAUGAGGAUGCGCAAGGAUCGGGCAGGCAUGGAGGUUGAUGAAGAUGAUUAUCAAUCAGAGGAAUCUUAUUGACAAACACUUUUAUUGGCAAUGGUGGAAAACAGUUUUGGGCUGUAUCAGAAGAUUUUAUUUUGUGUUUUUGGAAAUAUUUUGACAUAGGAUUUUGGUAAAUAAUUUAUGGAUUAAAUGUUUAGCAUCAAAAUAUUUGGUUGUGUUUUUGAAAAUAUUUUGACAUA